RNAcentral lists this transfer RNA (73 nucleotides) under Planctomycetota bacterium. Its description in RNAcentral is "tRNA-Ala". It matches the Rfam family "tRNA". From Rfam's summary of the family: Transfer RNA (tRNA) molecules are approximately 80 nucleotides in length. Lineage: Bacteria; Pseudomonadati; Planctomycetota. The record is from RNAcentral.
GGGGCUGUAGCUCAAUCGGGAGAGCGCUUCGUUCGCAACGAAGAGGUUGAGGGUUCGAUCCCCUCCCGCUCCA